CUCUAUAAGACUGGGAUAACUUCGGGAAACCGGAGCUAAUACCGGAUAAUAUUUUGAACCGCAUGGUUCAAAAGUGAAAGACGGUCUUGCUGUCACUUAUAGAUGGAUCCGCGCUGCAUUAGCUAGUUGGUAAGGUAACGGCUUACCAAGGCAACGAUGCAUAGCCGACCUGAGAGGGUGAUCGGCCACACUGGAACUGAGACACGGUCCAG
Molecule: ribosomal RNA, 212 nt
Filed under: uncultured Staphylococcus sp.
Lineage: Bacteria; Bacillati; Bacillota; Bacilli; Caryophanales; Staphylococcaceae
Description: partial 16S ribosomal RNA
Rfam family: Bacterial small subunit ribosomal RNA
Source: RNAcentral